Molecule: small nuclear RNA, 103 nt
Organism: Candoia aspera
Lineage: Eukaryota; Metazoa; Chordata; Lepidosauria; Squamata; Candoiidae
Source: RefSeq, a predicted model, not a curated record
AUGCUAGCUUUGGCAGCACAUGUACUAAAACUGGAAAAAUACAAAGAAGGUUAGCAUGGCCCCUGCAUAAGGAUAACAUGCAAAUGUAUGAAACUUUUUUUUU